UAGCCGUAAACGAUACUCGCUAGGUGUCGGCCACGGUGCGACCGUUGUCGGUGCCGUAGGGAAGCCGUGAAGCGAGCCACCUGGGAAGUACGGCCGCAAGGCUGAAACUUAAAGGAAUUGGCGGGGGAGCACCACAACGGGUGGAGCUUGCGGUUUAAUUGGAUUCAACGCCGGAAAUCUUACCGGGACCGACAGCAACAUGAAGGCCAGGCUGAAGACUUUGCCGGAUUAGCUGAGAGGAGGUGCAUGGCGUGUGACUGU
This 261-nucleotide ribosomal RNA is filed under the name uncultured archaeon. Its description in RNAcentral is "partial 16S ribosomal RNA". It matches the Rfam family "Archaeal small subunit ribosomal RNA", at positions 748 to 1008 of the family's 1478-position model. The record is from RNAcentral.